RNAcentral lists this long non-coding RNA (530 nucleotides) under Macaca nemestrina (pig-tailed macaque). RNAcentral's name for it is "lncRNA (ENSMNEG00000046095.1)". The record is from RNAcentral. Lineage: Eukaryota; Metazoa; Chordata; Mammalia; Primates; Cercopithecidae.
CUGCAUUCAUUAGAGAAAUGUUGGAACUGGUGGAAGAGGGAGGGAUUUGUUGCCCCUGGGCUGCUUUUCAGGGAGACUUAAGGGAAGGAUGGUAAUCUGUUGGAGAGUUGGACUGAGGACGCUGUGGCCAGGGUUUGCAGGAGACUCUCCUGCCCAUGGAUGGCUGCGUCCCUAAGGAAAGUUGACCUUCGCCAGUGCCUGCCUCUUGGGUGCAAUAGAAAGUAUGACAGUAAGAUAAAACCAGUCAGGGGAAUCAAACCCGAAAGCCAGAAGAGGUCAUUGGGAGGACCCUUGAAUGAAUGACUUUUCUUGCCACACCCACGCCGGAGACCUCACCAGGUGCACAUAUUUCCUGCUGCUGAAUGGCUUAGACUGGGAUUUGCAAGGAAUCACGAAGUUCAAGACCUCUGCCUUUCUUUUAGAAGAAGGCACCAGCUGGUUCUCCAAUGUUGAAGGUCUUCUCCAGAGAUGUGAGUUCAUUCCAGGACCCAUGCCAGCAUUUAAACAGUGCUCUGAUCCUUUGUUCAGGG